RNAcentral lists this non-coding RNA (89 nucleotides) under uncultured eukaryote. The record is from RNAcentral.
UCGCUCUGGUGCGUUGGGGGAGUUUGGAGGGAAGGUGACGCAGCAGGGGUGUGGAUCGCCGUGGGAAGGCGUCCCGGGAAGGAGUCUGU